CCCCUCUGAUUUUUUCAUUACAUCCAGCUAAGGGACUUUGCCCAAAACCCGCAGAUUAAAACAAGCGCCUUAACCCCACUUACGUUUUUUGAAAGAAUGUGCAUCCAAGAACAAUUCCCGAAAGGCCUCAUCACAAAUCUAUACGCACACCUAAGUACGACCACAUCGGAAUGGGGGGAACUUCACCACACGACCCAAUGGGAAAUGGACCUGAAUGAGGAACUGGAAGGCGUUGAAUGGCAGGAGAUCUGGGAGGCCGCUGCGACCUCCUCUAUUUGUGUCACAUUUCAGGAACAAGCC
Molecule: non-coding RNA, 300 nt
Organism: Pelobates cultripes (western spadefoot toad)
Lineage: Eukaryota; Metazoa; Chordata; Amphibia; Anura; Pelobatidae
Source: the annotation of a GenBank genome assembly